GAUGAAGAAGCAGCGAAAUGCGAUAAGUAAUGUGAAUUGCAGAAUUCAGUGAAUCAUCGAAUCUUUGAACGCACAUUGCGCCCCUUGGUAUUCCGAGGGGCAUGCCUGUUCGAGCGUCAUUACACCACUCAAGCUAUGCUUGGUAUUGGGCGUCGUCCUUAGUUGGGCGCGCCUUAAAGACCUCGGCGAGGCCACUCCGGCUUUAGGCGUAGUAGAAUUUAUUCGAACGUCUGUCAAAGGAGAGGAACUCUGCCGACUGAAACCUUUAUUUUUCUAGGUUGACCUCGGAUCAGGUAGGGAUACCCGCUGAACUUAAGCAUAUCAAAAAGCGGAGGA
RNAcentral lists this unclassified non-coding RNA (336 nucleotides) under soil metagenome. RNAcentral's name for it is "partial contains 5.8S ribosomal RNA, internal transcribed spacer 2, and large subunit ribosomal RNA". The stretch from base 1 to 119 matches the Rfam family "5.8S ribosomal RNA", at positions 35 to 154 of the family's 154-position model. The record is from RNAcentral.